UCCAGUACAAGGAAACCGGUCGUAGCAUCAACAGAUAACUGUUUCAAGGGCGUGUUCGUCUGUGGUAUAACCAUCUGAGGCGAGCUAGCAUGAGGUUAUAGCAUUUACAAAUUUAAACCGAAGAGAUUUUUCAAGGCCUUCACGCAUCUGAUGGAUCCUGGCAUGCUGUUCGGAAUUUCCUGUCCUUCGUACGUUGACAACAAAUAACUGCAUUUUGAAUUUAUAGGAGAUAAUUGUUGAUGACGUAAUUUUCCAAAAUGGUUAAUAUAAGAGAACUCUGCAGGUCACCAACAUUCCUGGCAAAAAUACUGGAACUGGUACUGAACUGUCUAUCCAUAGUCCUGUUUAUGUGGGAUACGAGUUAUCUGAUCACAGCAAAGUCAAAAUGGGCCGUGGUGUUUGGAACGCUCAUAGGAUUCCUGAUGAUCUCCAUCAUCAUAAUGGUUGCGAUUGUAAUAGAUAGUCCCUUGCACCGAAUACUGAUUCUGUUGGUAACGCUGCCUGCUGCCUUUCUGUUCUUUUCAACGGGUGGAAUAUUAAUAGAGACGUGGUACAACGCCAAACACUCGACGGGGUACCUGAUUGGAUCUGGGAUCUUAGCCUUUUUCAGUGGCAUUACAUACCUUGGGGACUUUGCCCUUACAUUCUUCAAAUAUGGUUAACGUACAGCCAUACGUUUCAUGAUUGUAUACGUCAGGUUUGCCUCAUCCGUAAUUCCCCGAUUUCAUUGGCAUUUAUCUGCAUGGAAGAAAUAUUUAGAAUCUCAGCUGUGAUUCCUCAAUAUGUCCUUUCCACAAAAUGCACAGUGGAAGUUGUGUCAGUCUGGCUGUGUGCAGGAUUAAUCUCUCAAGCUAGUGAAUGGAUUUUGAUUAAAUUUAAUAUUUGUAAUAAACAUUGAUAAAAAUAAUUAUUGUUCAGGUUUGAGAUUCCCAUGGCCGGGAACAUGAAGGUGGCCGCCUUCUGGGUAGUAGCGCCAUGUAGUCUAAUUGAAGUUUACUGAUGUUCCAGUAGUGCUUGCUCCUCCAUCAUCAGUAAACUUCAACUGGACUACACGGUGCUACGACCCAGAAGGCAGCCAUCUUGGCAAUCUAGUUUCUUGUCAGUGCGGUAUAACCACAUCUUUACAUGAAACACAAAUCAAUACGGAUUUUCUCCAGAUGGGUUACCACGCAAAGUGUUCAUGUUUUUGUAUCUACAAUGUAAGUUUCAGACACUUCUCACUGUGAUGAAUAUUUUUUGGUGUGACUCAAUCUGCAGCAACAAAUUUGUAUCUGAAAUAAAUUAAUAUCAAGGUAAAGAAAAGCAUGAAUUAGGUGAGAAUGCAUGUGAAAAAUAUUCACACUUCACUGCAGAACAUUUCUCUGCUUGUUACGAAGCGCAUCGUCACGUGAGAAAUUAGUUUUCAUGAACUGUAAAACAAGUCAGUAUAAAACAGUUAUAUAUUUUAUGCAGAAACUGUACAAAAAACAAAACUGAAUUAAAAUGAAGAUACCUUAUUGUAA
Zootermopsis nevadensis is the source of this 1502-nucleotide non-coding RNA. The record is from RefSeq and is a predicted model, not a curated record. NCBI's taxonomy places the organism in Eukaryota, Metazoa, Arthropoda, Insecta, Blattodea, Termopsidae.